GUGAGAAGUUCGGCUUGCUCGACUGAAGCCCGGACGUCCAGGAUGCGAGUGCCCAGUGGGCCACUUUUGGUAAGCAGAACUGGCGCUGUGGGAUGAACCAAACGCUGGGUUAAGGCGCCCGAUGCCAGACGCUCAUCAGAUCCCAUGAAAGGUGUUGGUUGCUAUAGACAGCAGGACGGUGGCCAUGGAAGUCGGAAUCCGCUAAGGAGUGUGUAACAACUCACCUGCCGAAGCAACUAGCCCUGAAAAUGGAUGGCGCUGUAGCGUCGAGCCCAUACCCGGCCGCCCCGGCUGGGCACGGAAGCUUAGGCCGGGGUGAGUAGGAGGUGUCGCAGCGGCGUGCGUUGAAGGUGCCGGGCGUGGGCCCGCCUGGAGCCGCCGCUGGUGCAGAUCUUGGUGGUAGUAGCAAAUACUCAAGUGAGAACCUUGAGGACUGAGGUGGAGAAGGGUUCCAUGUGAACAGCAGUUGAACAUGGGUCAGUCGGUCCUAAGGGAUAGGAGAAAUCCGUUCCGAAGCGGGACCUGCGUGCACCGUGAGGUCCCGUGGUCGACCGAAAGGGAAUCGGGUUAAUAUUCCCGAACUCGGACGCGGAGAUCGGCCCCUCGGGGUCAACUGCGGUAACGCAACCAAACUCGGAGACGUCGAUCGGGGUCCCGGGAAGAGUUGUCUUUUCUUUGUAAGGGAUCGGCUCCCUGGAAUCGGCUCGCCCGGAGAUAGGGAUGCUGUUCCCGUAAAGCACCGCGGCUCUUGCGGUGUCCGGAGCGCUCCGGUCGGCCCUUGAAAAUCCAGGGAGAGUGUGAUUUUCGUGCCGGACCGUACCCAUAUCCGCAGCAGGUCUCAAGGGUGAACAGCUCCUAGUCGAUGGAACA
This 870-nucleotide ribosomal RNA is filed under the name Pseudocellus sp. MCZ IZ 99205. RNAcentral describes it as "partial large subunit ribosomal RNA". It matches the Rfam family "Eukaryotic large subunit ribosomal RNA", at positions 1073 to 1897 of the family's 3401-position model. Lineage: Eukaryota; Metazoa; Arthropoda; Arachnida; Ricinulei; Ricinoididae. The record is from RNAcentral.